ACUGCAAACCGGGUUAUCGCUCUUGUUAAUUCAGGGGAGGAAAGUCCGGACAGCGAAGAGCAACACACCGGUUAAUUGCCGGUCCUGAUCUUGAUUGGGAAGAAAGUGCCACAGAAAAUUACCGUUCCUUAUUCAUCUCUUCGGAGACAUAAUGAGGUUCAAGGGUGAAAACGUGAGGUAAGAGCUCACGAUGCCGGUAAGUAAUUGCCGGGAUGGGUAAACCUUGUGUGCUGCAAUGCCACGUACAUCGGCGCCUGAGAACUGCUCGUUCGAGUUGAAGGGUAGGCAGCAAGAUUGUUGCAGUAAUGUAACAGCCAGAUAAAUGAUAACCGUUCUUUUUGCCGGGCUUGCCCGAAUAGAGAAAACAGAAUCCGGCUUACAGGUUUGCAGAAAUU
This 395-nucleotide RNase P RNA is filed under the name Bacteroidota bacterium. Its description in RNAcentral is "RNase P RNA component class A". It matches the Rfam family "Bacterial RNase P class A". From Rfam's summary of the family: Ribonuclease P (RNase P) is a ubiquitous endoribonuclease, found in archaea, bacteria and eukarya as well as chloroplasts and mitochondria. Its best characterised activity is the generation of mature 5'-ends of tRNAs by cleaving the 5'-leader elements of precursor-tRNAs. Cellular RNase Ps are ribonucleoproteins. The record is from RNAcentral. Lineage: Bacteria; Pseudomonadati; Bacteroidota.